CCCCGUCCCGUUUGCUUCAUAACUUAUCCACCCAAUAGUUGGACGCCACGUACCCAAUUCCACAACGGACGCUGCUGCCUCCGUUUGCUUGGAAACCACACUAGCUAAAGGCGGUUCCUCCUUUAGCAGCCAGAUAUAAAUACAACACCCCAUCGCUCUCUCUGCGAAUAAGCUUUCGACUUGCUUUCUUCGCGAUCAGAGGUGCUACUGACAAUGGAAUCACAGAAAACUCAACAUGAGCCAUCACCGGCUGCUGCAAACCCAGCCGCCACUUCAUGUCGAAAGAAGAAGAACGAACAAGCCACUUUCUUGGAGGAUUUGAAGGAUCAUAUUGAUGAUUUUGUAAAUGCAUCUAUGGAUGAACACAAAACUUGCUUCAAGAAGACCAUGAACAAGAUGUUUGGAAUGUCAAAGAUCGUCUCUAAGAGGAGUGCUGACACCAAGGAAGUUGAGAGUACUCUGCCCCUUCAAACCACAGUGGCAAAAUAGGACAUCUUCUCUUGCGUAUUAUAGGCAUAUAUCUUGAGAACCAAACUUUGCUCCUGGCCUUAACCAAUUAGAUUUUUGUGAUGUGUAAUUUGUUAAAAUUGUGGUACUGCACUGUCAUUUUUACCAGUACGAAAACUUGAGUUUGUAGGUUAAGUGGCGACUAUUAUGAACUCGAUUACAUAGUGUCAACAACGAUGUUACUUCUCGUGAUUUACUCUUUUGCUAUUCGGGUAGUUUUUAGUAUGUAGUAUGAGAUUGCACAGGAGUGCAUUUGUAUAGCGAACUAUGGUUUUGGUCCUUAUAAUUCGGACGAAGUUCCAUAUUUGUUCUAUUAGUUUCAGUUACCGCAAUUUAAACUCCAUGGUUUACGUACUGUUGUACCUCAAGGACAAAGGCA
RNAcentral lists this small RNA (886 nucleotides) under Malus domestica (apple). RNAcentral describes it as "sRNA MD10G0062500". The record is from RNAcentral. Lineage: Eukaryota; Viridiplantae; Streptophyta; Magnoliopsida; Rosales; Rosaceae.